UCAAACUUGGUCAUUUAGAGGAAGUAAAAGUCGUAACAAGGUUUCCGUAGGUGAACCUGCGGAAGGAUCAUUACUGAGGUUUUUAGGCGCUUGCCGCCUAUCACCCGCCCUUGUGUCAUCACAAUCCAGAGGGGUAGGCCCUGUCUUCGGGCGGGCCGACCCGCUGGGCUCAACUUCGGUGGAUGGUUGGGGCUCACACCCCAGCCACCGCCGGCCAACAAACUCUUUUGUGGCAGCCUGAAGUUUAUAAAAAAUACCAAAUAAAGCAAAACUUUCAACAACGGAUCUCUUGGCUCUGGCAUCGAUGAAGAACGCAGC
Molecule: unclassified non-coding RNA, 318 nt
Filed under: uncultured fungus
Lineage: Eukaryota; Fungi
Description: partial contains small subunit ribosomal RNA, internal transcribed spacer 1, and 5.8S ribosomal RNA
Rfam family: Eukaryotic small subunit ribosomal RNA (bases 1-73)
Source: RNAcentral